Hemicordylus capensis (graceful crag lizard) is the source of this 5593-nucleotide long non-coding RNA. RefSeq lists it as uncharacterized. The record is from RefSeq and is a predicted model, not a curated record. The transcript is spliced from 2 exons. Lineage: Eukaryota; Metazoa; Chordata; Lepidosauria; Squamata; Cordylidae.
CGCCCAGCAGCUGGCUGAGGAGAAUGAGGAAGGGCAGGAGGAGAGUCUGAGCGGGGAGGCGGCGGCGGCACCGGCAGCAGCAUCCGCGGCAGCCUCCCCCUCCGCGGCGGCCGCCGCAGCGCUCAUGGCAGCCCCCACCACCCCCGGCUUCCCUGGGCUGGGCCCGGAGCCCGCGACAAGGCGCGGCCACGGCUUCCACUUCACAGAAGCCGGUACUAGACCAGACCCCCAGUUCCGCCGCAGCUACCGAGACCUGGCUGGCUGGCUGGCUGACUUCCAGGCGCUGCUCUGUUUUCCGCAAGGAGCACAUUCCAAAGCCCUGCGGCAGCAAUGGAGAAGACCCAUCCCCGAGUAGCCACUAGAUGAGCCGGUAGCAAUCGUAGAUGUACGAUGAAGACGUUCUCUAAAAAAACCAGGGCCUAAGCUGUUCAGGACUUUAUAGGUAAUUACCAGUGCCUUGUAUUUUGCCCAGAAACUUACCAGCAGCCAGUGUAGCUCUUUCAACACAGGAGUAAUAUGGUCUUUCUGAGAUGACCCAGAGACCAACCUGGCCACCGCAUUCUGUAACAACUGCAGUUUCCGGACUAUGUACAAAGACAGCCCCACAUAGAGCGCAUUGAAGAAGUCCAAUCUGGAGGUUACAAGCAUAUGUACCACUGUUCUGAGGUUGUUCAUAUCAAGAAACGGACGCAGCUGGCAUAUUAGCCGAAACUGAUAGAAAGCACCUCUAGCCACUGCCUCAACCUGGGACACCAGGGAGGGGUUUGGAUCCAGAAGCACUCCCAGACUGAGUACCUGUUCCUUCCAGGGGAGUGUGACCCUAUCCAGAUCUGGCAGAUCAAAAUUGCCUCCCGAGUUCCGACCCCGCACAAUAAGUACCUCCAUCUUAUCUCCACCCCAUAACCUGCCCAAAAGCCAGUUUGAAAUGAGUCUAGAUAAUCAGUUUCCUCCAAGAUCGCCAGGAGCUGGGAGGCCACCAGCCUCUGAAUCACCUUGCCCAGCCAUGGAAGGAUGGAGACAGGCCUGUAGUUGCUCAACUGCAAGGGAUACAAGGCAGGCUUCUUCAGAAGUGGUCUGAUUGCCUCCUUGAGACAAGGAGACAUCCUGCCCUCCCUCAAAGAAGCAUUUCUAAUCUCUACCAGCCCCUGAACAAUAGCCUCCCUACCUGAUAGUAUAAGCCAUGUUGGGCCAGGAUCAAGAGGGCAGAAGGAAGGCCGCACCAUUCCAAGCAACCUAUCCACAUCCUCAGGGGUCACAAACUGAAACUGAUCCAGGGUCACCACAUAAGAGGAACUGCUGGACACCUAGGCAUCUGGACACCUCAGCAACAAUUGUGAAGUUUAACUCUAAGUUGGCCCGAAUAUAAGAGAUUUUGUCCAGUAAAACAUUGCUGUGUGUAAUUGUUGGUUCAAAGUACUGAUUCAAGUGGGAAGGGGCAUGCACCAGCCCCCUCACAACCCUGAACAACUCUGCCACACGUGAAAUUGUGGAUGCGAUACAGGCAGAAAAGAAUUGCUUUGCCGCAUGUAUCGCCUGAGCAUAGAUCUUCAAAUGCGCUCUAUGUAAUAAUCUGUUGGAUUAUUUAUUUAUUUAGCAUAUAUCUAUACCGCCCAAAACAGAAAACAGGACAAUAAAAACCAAUAAAAAAUUAACAUAUUUCAACAAAAAUUUGAAUUUUUUAAAAUUUAAAAUUUAAACAGUUAAAACUAUUAAAACAAAACAAUAUAUAAUUAAAAUCCUGGGUGAACAAAUGCAUCUUGACUGCCUUUUUAAAAGUUGUAAGAGAUGGGGAGGCUCUUAUUUCAGCAGGAAGUGUGUUCCAAAGCCUCAGGGCAGCAAUGGAGAAGGUCCGUCCCCGAGUAGCCACCAGACGAGCCAGUGGUAACUGCAGACGAACCUCUCCAGAUGAUCUCAAUGGGCGGUAUGGUUCAUAGCAAAUAAGACAUUCCAGGGCCAAGCUGUUUAGGGCUUUAUAGGUUAUAACCAAAACCUUGUACUUUGCCCGGAAACUUAUUGGCAUCCAGUGCAGAUCUUUUAAGAUAGGAGUGAUAUGGUCUCUCCAAGAUGACCCAGAGACCAACCUGGCUGCCGCAUUCUGGACUAACUGCAGUUUCCAGACUACGUACAAAGGCAGCCCCACAUAGAGCGCAUUGCAGUAGUUGAGUCUUUCUCCACUUGUGCUCUAGUAUCUUCUACCUCACCGCUUAAGCCCCCGGAGUUCUUCCGUAUAUUAAGGGGCCAGUUUCAAAGUGGGUCGGAGUGGAUGCUUAGGAGCAAUUGUGUCCACUGCCCUGGUGAGUUGGCUGUUCUAAUUCUUCACCAGGACGUCAACAGGGUCACCAGCAGAGCCAACACUAAAUCCCUCCAAGGCCUCUCGGAAUCCUAUUGAAUCCAAUAACCUUCUCAGGCAGAGCAUCCUAAUGGGCCCCUCACCCCUGCAGAGGUGAUACAUGAGCGUGAGUCCAAAUUUAACCAGAUGGUGGUCUGUCCAUGACAAUGGGGAAAUCACAGGAGUCUCCACCCAUGGUCGGAACACCACCCUGAUCAGAGUGAAAGACAAGAUCAAGUGUGUGACCAGCAAUGUGUGUUGGUCCAAAGACCACUUGGGAUAGGCCCAUAGACAUCAUGGGCCUAUCCCAAAUGAACUCCUGAGCUGCCCUGGACAAAUUGGUCCCAAAGUGAAUAUUAAAGAUCCACCACCAUCACAAGCCUGGGAGACUCCAAGGCCAGGCUCGAGACCAAGUCCAUCAGCUCAGUUAGGGACUCUGUUGGGCAGUGGGGCGAUCGGUACACCAACAGAAGUCCCAGUCUAUCCCUGGUCCCCAAACUUAAGUACACACAUUCAAUAUGGUCAGACACUUUGACAGGGAUCCUGGUAAGGAAGAUGUUGUUCUUACAGAUCACAGCCACUCCACCUCCCUGCCCACCUCCCCUCACCUGCUCCUCAACAGAGUACCUUAGAGGGAGAAGCUGGUAGCAGACAGGGCCGCCAGCCUCCCACAACCGAGUCUCUGCUAUACAUACCAGGUUGGCCGCUUCAUCCAGAAUCAAAUCAUGGAUCACUUCAGGUUUAUUCUGGACUGACCUGGCAGUGCAAAGAAGCAAGGUGAAGCUCUCUGGGUGGUUGGCACUGCUCUGCAAGGUCAAAGAGAUGGCAGGACAGCCAGAAGUGGAAAUAGUGAUUAUGUUUCUGAAUUCCCUCCCCCUGCAAUGGCCUGCUGACCUGCCAAUGCUACUUCUUCUGCUCCCCACUACCACCGGAAUAGCCACCUCAUAAUCUGCAAAUAUGCCCCCUGUCUCCCCAUCUCCAGACAAACCCAGGCACAUUAAAACUAAACUCACCCCGGAUUUAAAACAGAAACUGAAUUAAAAUACCCACCACUAUCACACCAAUGAAGAAUCCCAGAGCAGGCAGUCUGGCCCUUGCACUUGCUAUCCCCCGAAGUGGCUGCCCCUUGGUGUUGCCCCUUCAGUGGUGGGCCCACUAUAGGCAGCAUUCCUAUAAUCCUGUAAGAUAUUCCCCUUAGGGGAUGGAGCCGCUGUGGGAAGAGCACAAGGUUCCAAGUUCCCUCCCUAGCAUCUCCAAGAUAGGGCUGAGGGAGAUUCCUGCCUGCAACCUUGGAGAAGCCGCUGCCAGUCUGUGUAGACAAUACUGAGCUAGAUGGACCUAUGGUCUUACUCAGUAUAUGGCAGCUUCCUAUGUUCCUGUAAAAGACCCAGAGCUGGGCAGGUGGUACCAGGACCUGCUGAGUCACUCACCCCUGGCCCCAGUCCUGCACUCACUCGCCACAGAUGUUCAGCAGGGACAGCAGGCCACAGUACCACAGGGGAAACAAGGAGCAGGCAGGUAGUAGCAGAAGGAGCAAACAUCACACACACACAGUCUCUCACCCUGGGCAGCACUGAACGGGAAGUAUAUGUUUUCUUUCUUUCCUCUGCUGGACUCUUAUGCAAAAGUAAAUUUCCUUUAGCUAUUUUUACAUGUAUUAUGACAGUUCUAAAGUAAAUUGAAGAUAUAUUAAUUUAUUUGAACAAAUCAGUUACUGUAGACAUGUACAAAGAACAAUACAGAAACAAUCAAGGGGUAAGAAAUAAAACAAGGAGCAAAUAAGUACUUAUUAAUGAAUUAAUUUACUCUUAAACAGCUGCACCAGCCUAUUGCUGAAAUGCCAUAUUGAAGUACCACAGGCACAAUCCUACAACCUUUUCCCUCUGAUUGCUAAAGCAAAUUGAUGAUGUUUACAGAAUUAUCUUUCAGUUUCCUGACUUGCAGCAACUAUGUAACUGAGCCCAUCCCAUUUGUACUUAGUGGGAUUUGCUUCAAUUUCUGCAGGCAAUAUAUCUUCCUAACGCUAGAUGGCAACAUUUUGAGGAAGAUUAUUUCCUGAACACUUGAUACAAAAGAAAACAAGUGUUAAUUGACAACAAUGAAACUAUCAUUCAGGAUUUAUUAAUGCUGACCAUUUUAAAUUUUAGUACAAAUAUUACCUCGGGCUUGUGGCAAAAAACAUGUGCCGUGCUCUCAAAUUGUGGAUGGCAAAUGUAUUUAAAUAUCCGGGUUUUCUUGCAAUAAACACAGCUAUGCCAAUAAGGGCUGAUCCUUUUCUAAUAAUUGCUUCCUUGCUUAUUGCAGGAGGAAUAAUAGCAUAGGCCAUUUAAAUGUGUGUAGACCAUUCACAGCCACCUAAUGGUGCAGUGCGGGUAAGUAACAUGCCUAGGGAGCAAGAGGUUGCUGGUUCGAAUCCCUGCUGGUAUUCUAUAUCAGGCAGCAGUGAUAUAGGAAGAUGCUGAAAGCCAUCAUCUCAUACUGCACGGGAGAUGGCAAUGGUAAACCCCUCCUGUAUUCUACCAAAGAAAACCACAUUGCUCUGUGGUCGCCAGGAGUUGACUCGAUGGCACAACUUUACCUGUGCCAUCCAGGAGCAACCACUCUAGCAAACCUGCAUGUGGUCUCUGGAGAAGAUUGUAGCCAACUGGAAGAUUCAGGAGUAGCUCAAGGUUUCAGGAGGCCCUCAGCAAAUUGCCCUCCUCCACGGAUCUCCCUCCUACCCGAAUAGGCUGCGAGAGAAUUGCUCCAGCACCAGAGACAAUUGGCACAGAGGUGAUCUCAAGGACGAGCUAAGAUUAUCAUUAAAAAUCAGCAGUUGGGAACACUUCUGUACAUUUUUUAAGCUUCAACUAUAAGUAGAAGGAAAAUUAGGAACUCUUGAAUAACUUGAAUAACUGUAUUGUGAUCAUUGAUCAAAUUAGGAGCUUCUACCCUUGGGGACUGACUCCUCAGCCCUGCUGAUGCAAGGUUGAUGCUGUUGGUUUUUAUUAACCAACAUCAACCUUGCAUUAGCAGGACUGAGGGAUCAGUCCCCAGGUAUAUAAUUCCUACUCUACUAUACAAUACUACACAAUAAUUCCUAUGCUACUACACAGGCAUUUAAAUCUGCAGCCUGAUUAUUGUAUAUUUGCUGCUGUUUUUACUGGUGUUUUAUGUAUACUUUUAAAACAUGUUGGUUUAAGACUUUUGUAUGCUGCUCUGGGGUCUUAGGAUGAAGGGCAGUUUAUAAACAGAGAAAUAAAUAAAUGCAUGUUAAUGAUUGCA